Molecule: ribosomal RNA, 496 nt
Filed under: uncultured bacterium
Lineage: Bacteria
Description: partial 16S ribosomal RNA
Rfam family: Bacterial small subunit ribosomal RNA
Source: RNAcentral
AUGCACGCUGGCGGCGUGCCUAAUACAUGCAAGUCGAGCGAACGGACGAGAAGCUUGCUUUUCUGAUGUUAGCGGCGGACGGGGGAGUAACACGUGGAUAACCUACCUAUAAGACUGGGAUAACUUCGGGAAACCGGAGCUAAAAACGGAUAAUAUUUUGAACCGCAUGGUUCAAAAGUGAAAGACGGUCUUGCUGUCACUUAUAGAUGGAUCCGCGCUGCAUUAGCUAGUUGGUAAGGUAACGGCUUACCAAGGCAACGAUGCAUAGCCGACCUGAGAGGGUGAUCGGCCACACUGGAACUGAGACACGGUCCAGACUCCUACGGGAGGCAGCAGUAGGGAAUCUUCCGCAAUGGGCGAAAGCCUGACGGAGCAACGCCGCGUGAGUGAUGAAGGUCUUCGGAUCGUAAAACUCUGUUAUUAGGGAAGAACAUAUGUGUAAGUAACUGUGCACAUCUUGACGGUACCUAAUCAGAAAGCCACGGCUAACUACGUG